RNAcentral lists this long non-coding RNA (573 nucleotides) under Chinchilla lanigera (long-tailed chinchilla). Its description in RNAcentral is "lncRNA (ENSCLAG00000026742.1)". The record is from RNAcentral. Lineage: Eukaryota; Metazoa; Chordata; Mammalia; Rodentia; Chinchillidae.
AUGAGGAGAAAACGUGGAGAAAAAUUCACAUCCAUCUACAGCCCAGGGAAGUGUGUGAAUACGGAGCUGUUUCAGCUGGUCCAUGAUUCUAAGAUUCCACAACAAGGACAGAAAUGUAUUCUCUGUGAUAUAAAAAGGUCUAAAGAUGACUCCGAGCUUCCAUUACUAGGAGACUCCAGGCUGUGCUUUCUGUUUUGUUGCUCGAUCCAAGAUGCAUUUGGACUCCAGGAGACACCGAGAGGCCAGUGCUCACCUGGGAAGGAAGCCCUUCUCCCUCUGAGCUCCACGGGGCCCUGCAGACAAUGCAACGAGAAUCCUCAGAGUCCCCGAGUCCUGAGCCAGACGGCAGCGCUGGGCCUCAGCCAGGACCUCAGAAUCCUGAGAACCUCCCGGGACCAUGGCAUCUCUGCACGUGCCACCAAGGCCAGCUCUGCGCAGCCCCUGCUGAGACAAGAGGAAGCGGGAGCAGGAGCAGAGCUUGGUCCCAAAGCUUGCUUUAAGAAUGGAAUAGUCAUUUGGGGGCUGCUUUACAUUAUUUAUUUGUUUUUAUUAAAUUUUAAUUUCUAUUAGUGC